UUUGUUGAUGGAACUAGAUCAAUUGAAAGGUUUGAUGCAAAAAAUUGUAGCUGUCAUUCUUCUGCUGCUGUUCCUCAGUCUGUUGUCCCUUCUUGUUUCAAUCUUUUGCUUUUAUUCAGAUUUGAGGAACAGUUUGUUGUUGCGUUGUUUAGCUCCUUCAAAUUCAGGUAUACAUUUUGAAACAGUAUUAACUGCUUAUACUCUUGCUGUGAAAUUUAUCAUGAUGUAGUGGAGUUUGAUUUCUAAUUGCUAAAGUUGUCUCUCUGUUUUGUUUA
Molecule: long non-coding RNA, 275 nt
Organism: Rosa chinensis
Lineage: Eukaryota; Viridiplantae; Streptophyta; Magnoliopsida; Rosales; Rosaceae
Exons: 3
Source: RefSeq, a predicted model, not a curated record